RNAcentral lists this ribosomal RNA (332 nucleotides) under uncultured eukaryote. RNAcentral describes it as "partial 18S ribosomal RNA". It matches the Rfam family "Eukaryotic small subunit ribosomal RNA", at positions 592 to 976 of the family's 1831-position model. The record is from RNAcentral.
CAAUAGCGUAUAUUAAAGUUGUUGCAGUUAAAAAGCUCGUAGUUGAAUUUCGGGUCCCCGCGCUCGGCGCUUCAUUGUGCCGUCGUGGUGUCCCUCCUCGCCGUAAGGCGUCCUUUACUGUGAAAAAAUUAGAGUGUUCAAAGCAGGCAAUCGCUUGAAUACAUUAGCAUGGAAUAAUAAGAUAGGAUCUUGUCUAUUUUGUUGGUUGCGUACAACGAUAAUGAUUAAUAGGGAUAGUUGGGGGUGUCCGUAUUGAGCUGUCAGAGGUGAAAUUCUUGGAUUUGCUCAAGACGAACUACUGCGAAAGCAUUCACCAAGGAUGUUUUCAUUAA